Molecule: RNA transcript, 3801 nt
Organism: Artibeus jamaicensis (Jamaican fruit-eating bat)
Lineage: Eukaryota; Metazoa; Chordata; Mammalia; Chiroptera; Phyllostomidae
Exons: 3
Source: RefSeq, a predicted model, not a curated record
GGCGCGGGUGCGCGGGUGCGCCUGGUGGUUCAGACUGCUACCCGCGCCCCAUGCCGCUCUGGGACUCCCGGCGGUCCUCAGCUAUCCCGGAGAAUCCGUGAGAGUACUUUGCGCACGAAGCGCUGUGCCACCUCUGUGUUCCGGGCCGGAGUUGUGGCUGUCCCCAUUGCACACGCCGAGGUGAAGUGACAGUCUCAAAGUCCGGAGCCUGUUAGGGUGGAGGCCGCUGGGGACCGAGUUCCCUGAUUCCCGCUGCUUGGCGCGGGUCCUCGCUUCCCCCGGGGGCCCGGGCACAGGGCUUCUUCACCCACCGCUGUAUCCCCAGAGGGCUGCGUGUCAGGGAACCUGGAAGGAAGUAGCGUGUCUCUUGUGCUUGGCCGGGGAGGCUGAAGCAGGUCGGACUGAAGGAAAGAAGAGCCGAUCUGAGGUUGGGUGGCAGAGGGGCCAGGCUAGAUCAAUCAUUGAUUGGGUUAGAUAUUGACACUUUCCACUAUAAUGUCCUGGGGGUACAAACAGCGGUGGCCGCAAGGGAGGCCCGGGCGUUAGCCUCCCUUCCAAGCUCCUCCAAGUAGAACCUACAAGAGUGUUCUUUGAUAUGGGUAAUUGACAUGGUCUUACAUUUUUAUGGCACUCUCAGACAGGUUAUUAGAGGGAAGUUGAAUAAAUAGAGAAGGAAUGAAGGAGAAGUGGUGCGGUCCCAGGCCCGGCCACAAGGGGAGCUGUUACCACCCCAGACCUGAAGAGCAGCUGUAGCCACAGGAGAGACCCAGGUAGCGGGAGCUGUGACCUUGGGGAGAGGGACACAGUGACCUGGCAGAGAUGAGCCUGGUGAUUGAUAGACUGACCUCGCUUUCCUCCUGUCCGCUCACCUCAUCUGUGGGCUCCUCACCGGCAGAAUCUAGCCCCAGCGGGGCAAAGCAACCCCCACUGACAUUGCUUGUGGGUCAGCCCUGGACCUCGGGGCAGGGCAGCCGGGACAGCGCCGUGUGAGGUGUGCAGCCCGUGUUCUCGUGGUGAAUAAAGGCAUCUUAGAGACGUUGCUGGUUUGUGGACAGUGACGUAUAAUGUCAGGAAAACCCAUGUGCAGUGAAAACGUAAGUGAAAUUCCAGAGGCAGCCUGGAAAAGGGGGGGGGCAGGUCUCAGCAGAGCCCCUCGCCCCUCACCCCUGCAGUACCAUUCAGAGCCUCCCCAGGAGCCAGAAGACGUCCUGCAGGUGAUGAGUUCAACAGCCUGCCUGUCUACACGUGGCCCGCCCCGACGGUUGGCUGCCUCUUCCUCCAGGAGGCCCUCUGGAAUGCUCCAUUUGUAUUAAACAGCUGUCAGAGGUCACUGCCUGGCAGAGGCGGGCACCAGCACACACCGGAGGGUGAAUGGACCCAGCGUGUUCCCCGGGUGAGGCCAGAGACUGGGCUUCCCUCUGAGGCAGGGCACAUUCCUUCACUCAGUGAACCUUUGCAGGGGCCUUUCUCUGCCCAACUACAGGGCUGAGCCCCAGGGGGCCCCAUGGAGGCAAGGUUGUGCUCCAGAUGUGACGUUCAUGGCUCAACUGCACAACUGCACAGAAGUUCAGGGUGAAGCGGCCUGAGCCAAGGAUGCUUGAGAGGUUCAGGAGGAAGCGGAGUCCUUGCAGAAUGGGACGAGGGAGGGAGGUGGCCUCGGGCAGCUUUGAAGGGCAGGAAGGAGAUGGAGCCGAGGAAAAGGUGAAGAAAGGCAACAGGCAACGAGGUGACAUUGUGGCGUCCAAGGAGGCGGCCCCUGGGGAGCGUGGCUGUGUGUACACCGCACCCCGCAACCGUGGAGUCCACUGGGCGGCACCCCCACCUCGUACCAGGCAGCCACUCUUCCCUGCGGAGACUCGAGGUGGCCUCAGAGCCCUUCUCGUCACACUGUCCAGGCAGCGUCCUUCUCAGCCCCUGGCGGCUCACAGAUGACCCUGUUUGCCACCCGGACUCGGCCGGUGUUGGCAGUUUUGGACGGACCAGCUGGAAUCAGAAGUGCCAGUUCCGGAGGGGGCCUCUCUGAGCCGCCCCCGCCCCCCAGGAAGCCCAGCAGGUGGAUGGCAGGGGCCUGGGGGCAGAGUGGGUGUGUCCUUGAGCAGUGGCUGGUGGGGGCGGUCAGGACAGGCGGGUACCUGCAGCGCUGUUGGCACAGCCACAGCCCAAGGCUGGGGGGCGCUGGGUGGUGGUGCUCGUCCUGGAGGCUGGCCCCUUGCUCAGCAUAAGCUAUGUGGUCCGUGUCUGUCUGCUCUGUGGUCCUGCUGUGGGCUGUCACAUUUACAGGUGCACCACGGACUGUUCGCCUGGCCUCUUGCUCAGGGACAUGUGAGUUGUCACCGAGGUCUGCCAGCAGUGCCGCCAGGAACAUUCCAGCACGUCUUCUGGCCUCACACCUGGCAGUGGGGUGCUGGCGAGGCGGCUUCAGCUUUCAUAGAUGUGACCCAUCCCCCGCAUGGCAGGCCCGCCCCCACUCUUCCCAGCAGGUCGUGCCAGCCCUUGGGGCUGUCCGUCCUCUGCUGUUAGCCAGUGGGGUUGGGGCACUUGAUCCACCCUUGAUCUUCCGAAUGCCCCUGUGAACAAAAUGCUUCCGGGGGGGGGGAACGCUGGAUUAUCAUCAUUUACGGGACCGAAAGGGACUGUCUGAGAAGUGAAGAAGCCAGGUCGCCAGCACACACUGGAGCUGCCUCUGGAAUUUCAUUCUCAGUUCUUUCCUCAGGACCGAAACCAGAAUUCAGAAAAUGAAAUGUGGCCGGUGCGGAGAGCUGGAAGGGCCGGGGGCCUGGAGCUCCGCAGGGAGAGCCUCCAGGGCGGCUGUGGAGACCAUGCAGCCAUCAGACGCCCAGGCUCCCGCUGCCUUGUUGCUCUCGCAUUCUCCCAUGUGGCUCCCCCUCAUGAUCCAAAACAGCUGCAGAAACACCAGCCAUCGCGUGUACUUUUCAGCCAGCGGGAAGGCAGGAGAGACGAGACCACAGCUCACGGUUUAAGGACACUUACCACUACACAUGGUGCUGCUCUUUACCCUCAUGGGCCAGAACUUGGUCCCAAGGCUGCAUCCAGCUCCAAGGGGAGCUGGGAAGUGUGGUCUUGACUCUGGACAGCCAGGUGCCCACGUACAGAUUGGAGUUCUAUUACUAAGGAAAAGGGGGAAGAUGUUUUGGGGCAACACAGUCUCUGCCCCUCUGAGUAACUGGAAAGGAGGCGAUGGUGCUGCAGGCAGAGAUGACGGGGGGGGGGGGCGGUCUCUGCCCCUCAUCACUCCUGAUGAGUGCAGACACUCAUUCCUACUAGUGCCCAGCCGAGGGUGCCCUGGCGUGCGGAGAGUGUCCACAUUGGCCGCUGCGGGGGUGUGUGUGGUCACACUGCUGCCGGCGGCUGUGCAGCGCCACUGGCCUUUCGCUGGAAGCCUUGUCGUGGGAGUCGUUGUGGCUUUGGGGUCCUUUCUCCCUCAUCAGGCCUCCCCUGCCCCACCCAUCAGCGUUGGUGGGAUCUUGGUGCUGGGGGUGCAGACAGCAAUGGGCAGCUGCUGUGUGAAAUGGGGGCACCCCAGCCCCUGACCGUUGGAGCUGGAGCACCACGAUCCUCUGGUUACAACAGGGCUUGCAGCUCGGACUCGCCCAGCUGCUGUUGCUGCUGAGGGGCCAGGGCGGCGCUGGUCUGCCCCCCUGCCCCUGCCUCCCUGCCCCCGCCCCUGCCCUGCCCAGGACUUGGCAGGCUGCGAGGAUGUGUGGUUUUCCUGUGUCCGACUUUCUCUCGCUGCUCAGCUGGGCUCUGCGUCUCCAGACGCGCUGGCCUCCUUCUCUGCAU